This 73-nucleotide transfer RNA is filed under the name Caudoviricetes sp. RNAcentral describes it as "tRNA-Gln". It matches the Rfam family "tRNA". Rfam says of the family: Transfer RNA (tRNA) molecules are approximately 80 nucleotides in length. Their secondary structure includes four short double-helical elements and three loops (D, anti-codon, and T loops). Lineage: Duplodnaviria; Heunggongvirae; Uroviricota; Caudoviricetes. The record is from RNAcentral.
UGAGCUAUGGCGAAAAGGUAACGCAGCAGGUUUUGACCCUGUUAUUUUGCUGGUUCAAAUCCAGCUAGUCCAG